GUGGGGAAUUUUGGACAAUGGGCGCAAGCCUGAUCCAGCAAUGCCGCGUGCAGGAAGAAGGCCUUCGGGUUGUAAACUGCUUUUGUACGGAACGAAACGGUCCGGGUUAAUACCCUGGGCUAAUGACGGUACCGUAAGAAUAAGCACCGGCUAACUACGUGCCAGCAGCCGCGGUAAUACGUAGGGUGCAAGCGUUAAUCGGAAUUACUGGGCGUAAAGCGUGCGCAGGCGGUUUUGUAAGACAGGCGUGAAAUCCCCGGGCUCAACCUGGGAAGUGCACUUGUGACUGCAAGGCUGGAGUGCGGCAGAGGGGGAUGGAAUUCCGCGUGUAGCAGUGAAAUGCGUAGAUAUGCGGAGGAACACCGAUGGCGAAGGCAAUCCCCUGGGCCUGCACUGACGCUCAUGCACGAAAGCGUGGGGAGCAAACAGGAUUAGAAACCCGGGUAGUCC
Molecule: ribosomal RNA, 450 nt
Filed under: uncultured bacterium
Lineage: Bacteria
Description: bacterial SSU rRNA
Rfam family: Bacterial small subunit ribosomal RNA
Source: RNAcentral